Molecule: ribosomal RNA, 814 nt
Filed under: uncultured bacterium
Lineage: Bacteria
Description: bacterial SSU rRNA
Rfam family: Bacterial small subunit ribosomal RNA
Source: RNAcentral
AGAGUUUGAUCCUGGCUCAGGAUGAACGCUGGCGGCAUGCCUAAUACAUGCAAGUCGAACGAGAGGAAGGAAAGCUUGCUUUUCUGAAUCUAGUGGCGAACGGGUGAGUAACACGUAGGUAACCUGCCCAUGUGCCCGGAAUAACUUCUGGAAACGGAUGCUAAAACCGGAUAGGUAGCAGACAAGCAUUUGACUGCUAUUAAAGUGGCUUUGGCCAUGAAACAUGGAUGGACCUGCGGUGCAUUAGCUGGUUGGUGAGGUAACGGCCCACCAAGGCGACGAUGCAUAGCCGGCCUGAGAGGGCGGACGGCCACAUUGGGACUGAGACACGGCCCAAACUCCUACGGGAGGCAGCAGUAGGGAAUUUUCGUCAAUGGGGGGAACCCUGAACGAGCAAUGCCGCGUGAGUGAGGAAGGUCUUCGGAUCGUAAAGCUCUGUUGUAAGAGAAAAACGGCACUCAUAGGGAAUGAUGAGUGAGUGAUGGUAUCUUACCAGAAAGUCACGGCUAACUACGUGCCAGCAGCCGCGGUAAUACGUAGGUGGCGAGCGUUAUCCGGAAUGAUUGGGCGUAAAGGGUGCGUAGGUGGCAGAUCAAGUCUGGAGUAAAAGGUAUGGGCUCAACCCGUACUGGCUCUGGAAACUGAUCAGCUAGAGAACAGAAGAGGACGGCGGAACUCCAUGUGUAGCGGUAAAAUGCGUAGAUAUAUGGAAGAACACCGGUGGCGAAGGCGGCCGUCUGGUCUGGAUUCUGACACUGAAGCACGAAAGCGUGGGGAGCAAAUAGGAUUAGAUACCCUAGUAGUCCACGCCGUA